This 503-nucleotide ribosomal RNA is filed under the name uncultured bacterium. RNAcentral describes it as "partial 16S ribosomal RNA". It matches the Rfam family "Bacterial small subunit ribosomal RNA", at positions 28 to 523 of the family's 1533-position model. The record is from RNAcentral.
GAUAAACGCUAGCGGCAGGCUUAACACAUGCAAGUCGAGGGGCAGCAUAGAUUGUAGCAAUACAAUUGGUGGCGACCGGCGCACGGGUGCGUAACGCGUAUGCAACCUACCCGUCACAGGGGGAUAAUCCAGAGAAAUCUGGUCUAAUACCCCAUAACAUAUGGAUCAGCAUCGGUUCAUGUUGAAAUUUUCGGAGGUGACGGAUGGGCAUGCGUAGCAUUAGCUUGUUGGUGAGGUAACGGCUCACCAAGGCGACGAUGCUUAGGGGGACUGAGAGGUUUUCCCCCCACACUGGUACUGAGACACGGACCGGACUCCUACGGGAGACAGCAGUGAGGAAUAUUGGUCAAUGGGCGCAAGCCUGAACCAGCCAUGCCGCGUGCAGGAUGACGGCUCUAUGAGUUGUAAACUGCUUUUGUACGAGGGUAAAGUGGGUUACGUGUAACCUUUUGAAAGUAUCGUACGAAUAAGGAUCGGCUACUCCGUGCCAGCCGCCGCGGUAU